UUUUUUGAACGCAAGUUGGCGCCCGAUGCCAUUAGGUUGAGGGCACGUCUGCCUGGGUGUCACAUAUCGAAGCCUCCUUGCCAAUUUCCCUGAUUAUUGUGCAGGGUGGAUGUUGGCCUCCCGUGAGCUCUUUCGUCUCAUGGUUGGUUGAAAAUUGAGACCUUGGUAGGGUGUGCCAUGAUAGAUGGUGGUUGUGUGACCCACGAGACCAAUCAUGCGCUGCUCUAUUGAAUUUGGCCUCCUUUACCCAUAUGCGUUUCCAAACGCUCGUGAUGAGACCUCAGGUCAGGCGGGGCUACCCGCUGAAUUUAAGCAUAUCAAUAAGCGGAGGAAAAGAAACUAACAAGGAUUCCCUUAGUAACGGCGAGCGAACCGGGAUAAGCCCACCAUGAGAAUCGGUCGCCCUCGGCGUUCGAAUUGUAGUUGAAAAAAACCGUCAAAAGCU
RNAcentral lists this ribosomal RNA (445 nucleotides) under Vicia faba var. faba. RNAcentral describes it as "eukaryotic LSU rRNA". The stretch from base 276 to 445 matches the Rfam family "Eukaryotic large subunit ribosomal RNA", at positions 1 to 172 of the family's 3401-position model. Lineage: Eukaryota; Viridiplantae; Streptophyta; Magnoliopsida; Fabales; Fabaceae. The record is from RNAcentral.